CUCAGGACGAACGCUGGCGGCGUGCUUAACACAUGCAAGUCGAACGGAAAGGCCCAGCUUGCUGGGUGCUCGAGUGGCGAACGGGUGAGUAACACGUGGGUGAUCUGCCCCUGACUUUGGGAUAAGCCUGGGAAACUGGGUCUAAUACCGGAUAUGACCUUCUCUCGCAUGCGAUUUGGUGGAAAGCCUUGUGCGGUUGGGGAUGGGCCCGCGGCCUAUCAGCUUGUUGGUGGGGUAAUGGCCUACCAAGGCGACGACGGGUAGCCGACCUGAGAGGGUGAUCGGCCACACUGGGACUGAGACACGGCCCAGACUCCUACGGGAGGCAGCAGUGGGGAAUAUUGCACAAUGGGCGCAAGCCUGAUGCAGCGACGCCGCGUGAGGGAUGACGGCCUUCGGGUUGUAAACCUCUUUCACCAGGGACGAAGCGCAAGUGACGGUACCUGGAGAAGAAGCACCGGCCAACUACGUGCCAGCAGCCGCGGUAAUACGUAGGGUGCGAGCGUUGUCCGGAAUUACUGGGCGUAAAGAGCUCGUAGGCGGUUUGUCGCGUCGUCUGUGAAAUUCUGCAGCUUAACUGCAGGCGUGCAGGCGAUACGGGCAGACUUGAGUACUACAGGGGAGACUGGAAUUCCUGGUGUAGCGGUGAAAUGCGCAGAUAUCAGGAGGAACACCGGUGGCGAAGGCGGGUCUCUGGGUAGUAACUGACGCUGAGAGCG
Molecule: ribosomal RNA, 719 nt
Filed under: Gordonia sp. VO12-3
Lineage: Bacteria; Bacillati; Actinomycetota; Actinomycetes; Mycobacteriales; Gordoniaceae
Description: bacterial SSU rRNA
Rfam family: Bacterial small subunit ribosomal RNA
Source: RNAcentral